UGCCUGGUGGUGUAAUGGUAGCACAAGAGAUUUUGAUUCUUUCAGUUCAGGUUCGAUCCCUGGCCGGGCAACCA
Molecule: transfer RNA, 74 nt
Filed under: Opitutaceae bacterium
Lineage: Bacteria; Pseudomonadati; Verrucomicrobiota; Opitutia; Opitutales; Opitutaceae
Description: tRNA-Gln
Rfam family: tRNA
About the family: Transfer RNA (tRNA) molecules are approximately 80 nucleotides in length. Their secondary structure includes four short double-helical elements and three loops (D, anti-codon, and T loops).
Source: RNAcentral